This is an RNA transcript of Harpia harpyja (harpy eagle), 1864 nucleotides long. It is a transcript of the gene named ectonucleoside triphosphate diphosphohydrolase 8-like, with no coding region annotated. The transcript has 9 exons. NCBI's taxonomy places the organism in Eukaryota, Metazoa, Chordata, Aves, Accipitriformes, Accipitridae. The record is from RefSeq and is a predicted model, not a curated record.
GCUGCGCAGGCAGGGCGGGCAGGGCUGCCCCGAGGCCGUGCCCGGGGGGAUAGGCAGAGGGAGCCACGGGCUCGGUCCAGCUCGGUGCAUCUACGCCCGAGGAAGGAGGGGUGCUCCCAGCACAGCCCGGUGCCGGGAUGCAGACGCGCCUGCUCAGGGUGGUGGGCUGGAGCUCGGCAGCCGUGCUGGGAGUGCUGGGGGUGGCCGUCUUCCUCCUGGUCCUGACCCUGGCGAAGGAUGCUGCCCUUCCUACGAGGAACAAAUACGGUCUGGUGUUUGACGCUGGCUCCACACACACGGCUCUCUACAUCUACCAGUGGCCCACAGACAAGGAGAACGGCACUGGCAUCGUCUCCCAGGUGGAGGCCUGCACUGUAUCUGGACCUGGCAUCUCCAGCUACGCAGACAACCCCGCUGGGGCUGGAGCCAGCCUGAAGCCCUGCCUGGACAAGGCCAUGAAGAUCAUCCCGGCAGAGCAGCAGCGGGAGACCCCCACCUACCUGGGGGCCACAGCGGGCAUGCGGCUGCUGAGGGAGCAGAACAGCACCAAGGCCGAGCGGGUCUUCGCCGAGGUUGCCAAGGCCAUUGGCGAGUACCCUGUGGACUUCCGCGGAGCUCGGAUCCUCACGGGGAACGAGGAGGGCUCCUUCGGCUGGAUCACCGUCAACUACCUGCUGGAGACGCUCGUCAAGUUUUCCUUUGCAGAGAAAUGGGAACAUCCACGGGACACCGAGGUUCUCGGAGCUCUGGACCUUGGAGGUGCCUCAACACAAAUAACCUUCCAGCCUGAAGUCACCAUUGAGGACAAGAACACGUCUGUCUUCUUCAGGCUGUACGGCACCAACUACUCGCUCUACACCCACAGCUACCUCUGCUACGGGCAGACGCAGGCCUUGAAGAUGCUGCUGGCAGCUCUCCACCAGGGCAGCCCGUCUCCCCAGCAGAUAUCACACCCCUGCUACCCCAAGGGAUACCGGGAGAACAUCACCACGGCAGACCUCUACAACAGUCCCUGUGUCCGUGCACCAAGCACACCCAGCCCUGCACAGGUCCUCACGGUGACGGGGACAGGGGACCCACCAGCGUGCAGCACUGCCAUCCAGAAACUCUUCAACUUCAGCUGUGGGGCCAACAGGACGUGCGGGUUCAAUGGGGUUUAUCAGCCGCCUGUGCGGGGACAGUUCUUUGCCUUUUCGGGGCUUUAUCACAACUUUCACUUUCUGAACCUGACUGGAGGGCAGUCCCUGACCUCGGUCAAUGCCACCAUUGGGCAGUUCUGCACCAGCAGCUGGGAGAAGGUGAGAUCCUGCUUAGGAGAUGCCAGCCCCUGCCCACGUUUCACCUGGGUGCUGGGCAGCCUGAGGGCUCAUCUGCAGCCCAUCCUCUGCUGCGCAGACGGCAGCUGGAGGGAGCUGGGAGGAGCACAAAGAUCUCUGGACAGGGAGAGAGAUGGGAGAGCAGCCUGCAGCCUCCCAGGUCCUCCUUUCUCCCCAGGCACAGGCAUUCCCAGGUCUUUGCUCCCAGCUGCACUGCGGGGCUCUUCCCUGCAGUGUGGGUGCACCAAGCACUGCUCUGUGCUGGCGGCCCUCCCCAGCAAUUCCACCUCUGCAGGUGCAGAAGGAGUUCCCCACCAUGGACAGGACCCACCUCCGUGAUGCCUGCGCAGCCAGUUCCUACACCCUCACCCUUCUCCUGCAAGGCUACAAAUUCAACCACACGACAUGGCUUAACAUCCACUUCGUCCCGCAGGUCGCUAAUGUAGACAUGGGCUGGACUCUGGGCUACAUGCUCAAUCUCACCAACAUGAUUCCCUCAGAGACUCCCCAGAGAGUCGUAGGGCUCCAGAGAAGCAACUGGAUAGCAG